UCGGUUUUCAGCUCUGCCUCCAGAGCAGAGCUCAGCUACGCCAGAGCUGUUAUAAUUUUAUCGAAAGGAAAGGAAUUUUUAACCUCAUCAAAAAAAAUACAAUAGCUCAAACUAUUGGAAAAAUCUCAUCUCAUCAUAAACUUAUUUAUAUGUAUCUCAGUAAAAUAUUUCUCAUAAAAAAAAAACUGAUAUUCAAAAAUAAUAAUAGCUGCAUGCCAUUUCCCGAUUUAAAAAAAAUAAUCUCGUUUUCCAAAAUCUCGAAAAUAAUCCGUGUUAAGAUAACACAAAACAAAACACACUCACAUCAUCGUAAACAAAUAGUCACGUAGAAAAUCACUCAAACCAUCUCAGAUAAAACACGGAUACAAUUCUUAUUAAAGCAAUCAGCAAUCAUCUCUCAGAUCGACUCUCCCUUCUAUAGGGUUUCUCACUCACUUAUCUCAACUCUAUUCUUCUUCAGAUGUUCCUAUUUGCAAUAGGACAAUUAAACUCACAGAUACCUCUGUAUCCGUCAUCGGGAAAAAU
This 525-nucleotide long non-coding RNA is filed under the name Salvia miltiorrhiza (redroot sage). RNAcentral describes it as "long non-coding RNA (SMIL_LNC002516)". Lineage: Eukaryota; Viridiplantae; Streptophyta; Magnoliopsida; Lamiales; Lamiaceae. The record is from RNAcentral.